UCUCCGUUGGUGAACCAGCGGAGGGAUCAUUACCGAGUUUACAACUCCCAAACCCAAUGUGAACGUUACCAAACUGUUGCCUCGGCGGGAUCUCUGCCCCGGGUGCGUCGCAGCCCCGGACCAAGGCGCCCGCCGGAGGACCAACCAAAAACUCUUUUGUAUACCCCCUCGCGGGUUUUUUUAUAUCUGAGCCAUCUCGGCGCCUCUCGUAGGCGUUUCGAAAAUGAAUCAAAACUUUCAACAACGGAUCUCUUGGUUCUG
RNAcentral lists this unclassified non-coding RNA (261 nucleotides) under plant metagenome. RNAcentral describes it as "partial contains small subunit ribosomal RNA, internal transcribed spacer 1, and 5.8S ribosomal RNA". The record is from RNAcentral.